This 284-nucleotide ribosomal RNA is filed under the name Faecalibacterium prausnitzii. Its description in RNAcentral is "partial 16S ribosomal RNA". It matches the Rfam family "Bacterial small subunit ribosomal RNA", at positions 493 to 776 of the family's 1533-position model. Lineage: Bacteria; Bacillati; Bacillota; Clostridia; Eubacteriales; Oscillospiraceae. The record is from RNAcentral.
UCUUUUCCUUUUGUGCCCGCCGCCGCGGUAAAACGUAGGUCACAAGCGUUGUCCGGAAUUACUGGGUGUAAAGGGAGCGCAGGCGGGAAGACAAGUUGGAAGUGAAAUCCAUGGGCUCAACCCAUGAACUGCUUUCAAAACUGUUUUUCUUGAGUAGUGCAGAGGUAGGCGGAAUUCCCGGUGUAGCGGUGGAAUGCGUAGAUAUCGGGAGGAACACCAGUGGCGAAGGCGGCCUACUGGGCACCAACUGACGCUGAGGCUCGAAAGUGUGGGUAGCAAACAGG